UUAAUUGUUUGAAUUAUGGAUUUUGAUGAUUUAUUUUAUGGCUACGUGUUGGCGGAGUAUGUCUUCUUGAGUUAGGGGUAUAGAGGGAUGAUAGAAGUAAGUAGAAUAAUUUAGAAUUGUUUUGAUAAUUAAAAGUAAUGUUUUAUUUAUUUUUAUUAUAUUAAUUAGUGAAGAUAGAAUAAUUGGGUCAAAUAUGAGAAAUUGAGAAAGUUAGUG
RNAcentral lists this long non-coding RNA (216 nucleotides) under Lathyrus oleraceus (garden pea). Its description in RNAcentral is "Pisum sativum (pea) long non-coding RNA (PSAT_LNC031561)". The record is from RNAcentral. Lineage: Eukaryota; Viridiplantae; Streptophyta; Magnoliopsida; Fabales; Fabaceae.